GCCGAGGUAGCCAAGUGGACUACGGCGCCAGCCUGGAGAGCUGGUGAGGCUCUCGCCUCGCAGGGGUUCAAAUCCCUUCCUCGGCG
This 86-nucleotide transfer RNA is filed under the name Methanobacteriota archaeon. RNAcentral describes it as "tRNA-Ser". It matches the Rfam family "tRNA". Rfam says of the family: Transfer RNA (tRNA) molecules are approximately 80 nucleotides in length. RNAcentral also lists the same sequence under 2 other names. Lineage: Archaea; Methanobacteriati; Methanobacteriota. The record is from RNAcentral.